GGUGGAGGUGACAUACCCGUUCCCAUUCCGAACACGGAAGUUAAGCCCUCUAACGCCGAUGGUACUGCCCCCCGGAGGGGUGGGAGAGUAGGUAGUCGCCAGGC
This 104-nucleotide ribosomal RNA is filed under the name Treponema sp. Lineage: Bacteria; Pseudomonadati; Spirochaetota; Spirochaetia; Treponematales; Treponemataceae. The record is from RNAcentral.